AAAGGGGGUAUCCAUUUUUCCCCUAAAUUAAGUGAUAACCUGCCGAAAGGCAGACUAAACCUUAUGUAAUCCUUUGGCGGCAUCAGAUUAGGAUUAAAGAUUUUUCGGUUAUGGAUGGGGAUGCGUCUGAUUAGAUUGUUGGCGGGGUAACAGCCCACCAAGGCAACGAUCAGUAGGGGUUCUGAGAGGAAGGUCCCCCACAUUGGAACUGAGACACGGUCCAAACUCCUACGGGAGGCAGCAGUGAGGAAUAUUGGUCAAUGGGCGAGAGCCUGAACCAGCCAAGUAGCGUGCAGGACGACGGCCCUAUGGGUUGUAAACUGCUUUUGUAUGGGGAUAAAGUCAAUCACGUGUGAUUGUUUGCAGGUACCAUACGAAUAAGGACCGGCUAAUUCCGUGCCAGCAGCCGCGGUAAUACGGAAGGUUCGGGCGUUAUCCGGAUUUAUUGGGUUUAAAGGGAGCGUAGGCCGGAGAUUAAGUGUGUUGUGAAAUGUAGACGCUCAACGUCUGACUUGCAGCGCAUACUGGUUUCCUUGAGUACGCACAACGUUGGCGGAAUUCGUCGUGUAGCGGUGAAAUGCUUAGAUAUGACGAAGAACUCCGAUUGCGAAGGCAGCUGACGGGAGCGCCACUGACGCUUAAGCUCGAAGGUGCGGGUAUCGAACAGG
This 668-nucleotide ribosomal RNA is filed under the name Prevotella melaninogenica. RNAcentral describes it as "bacterial SSU rRNA". It matches the Rfam family "Bacterial small subunit ribosomal RNA", at positions 110 to 776 of the family's 1533-position model. The record is from RNAcentral. Lineage: Bacteria; Pseudomonadati; Bacteroidota; Bacteroidia; Bacteroidales; Prevotellaceae.